RNAcentral lists this ribosomal RNA (492 nucleotides) under uncultured bacterium. RNAcentral's name for it is "partial 16S ribosomal RNA". It matches the Rfam family "Bacterial small subunit ribosomal RNA", at positions 29 to 507 of the family's 1533-position model. The record is from RNAcentral.
AGUGAACGCUGGCGGUAGGCCUAACACAUGCAAGUCGAACGGCAGCACAGUAAGAGCUUGCUCUUACGGGUGGCGAGUGGCGGACGGGUGAGGAAUACAUCGGAAUCUACUUUUUCGUGGGGGAUAACGUAGGGAAACUUGCGCUAAUACCGCAUACGACCUACGGGUGAAAGCAGGGGAUCUUCGGACCUUGCGCGAUUGAAUGAGCCGAUGUCGGACUAGCUAGUUGGCGGGGUAAAGGCCCACCAAGGCGACGAUCCGUAGCUGGUCUGAGAGGAUGAUCAGCCACACUGGAACUGAGACACGGUCCAGACUCCUACGGGAGGCAGCAGUGGGGAAUAUUGGACAAUGGGCGCAAGCCUGAUCCAGCCAUACCGCGUGGGUGAAGAAGGCCUUCGGGUUGUAAAGCCCUUUUGUUGGGAAAGAAAAGCAGCAGGUUAAUACCCCGCUGUUCUGACGGUACCCAAAGAAUAAGCACCGGCUAACUUCGUG